RNAcentral lists this transfer RNA (63 nucleotides) under Brookesia valerieae. Its description in RNAcentral is "tRNA-His". It matches the Rfam family "tRNA". Rfam says of the family: Transfer RNA (tRNA) molecules are approximately 80 nucleotides in length. Their secondary structure includes four short double-helical elements and three loops (D, anti-codon, and T loops). Lineage: Eukaryota; Metazoa; Chordata; Lepidosauria; Squamata; Chamaeleonidae. The record is from RNAcentral.
GCCAUGGUAGUUUAACAAAACAUUAGUCUGUGAUACUAAAAAUGGAAAAUUUUUCCCACGGCC